GGGCCCGCACAAGCGGUGGAGCAUGUGGUUUAAUUCGAUGAUACGCGAGGAACCUUACCAGGGCUUAAAUGUAAGUUGCAUAAGUUAGAGAUAGCUUUUUCUUCGGACUACUUACAAGGUGCUGCAUGGUUGUCGUCAGCUCGUGCCGUGAGGUGUCAGGUUAAGUCCUAUAACGAGCGCAACCCUUGUCCUUAGUUGCCAGCGUGUAAUGACGGGGACUCUAACGGAACUGCCGGUGCAAACCGUGAGGAAGGUGGGGACGACGUCAAAUCAUCACGGCCCUUACGUCCUGGCCACACACGUGCUACAAUGGCGCAUACAGAGGGCGGCCAACUUGCGAGAGUGAG
Molecule: ribosomal RNA, 347 nt
Filed under: uncultured bacterium
Lineage: Bacteria
Description: bacterial SSU rRNA
Rfam family: Bacterial small subunit ribosomal RNA
Source: RNAcentral